GUCGCGAUAGCGUAAUGUGUAGCGUGUCAGUCUGUGAAGCUGAAGGUGCGGGUUCAAAUCCCGCUCGCGACC
Molecule: transfer RNA, 72 nt
Filed under: Candidatus Aenigmatarchaeota archaeon
Lineage: Archaea; Nanobdellati; Candidatus Aenigmatarchaeota
Also listed under: 1 other name
Description: tRNA-His
Rfam family: tRNA
About the family: Transfer RNA (tRNA) molecules are approximately 80 nucleotides in length. Their secondary structure includes four short double-helical elements and three loops (D, anti-codon, and T loops). Further hydrogen bonds mediate the characteristic L-shaped molecular structure. tRNAs have two regions of fundamental functional importance: the anti-codon, which is responsible for specific mRNA codon recognition, and the 3' end, to which the tRNAs corresponding amino acid is attached (by aminoacyl-tRNA synthetases). tRNAs cope with the degeneracy of the genetic code in two manners: having more than one tRNA (with a specific anti-codon) for a particular amino acid; and 'wobble' base-pairing, i.e. permitting non-standard base-pairing at the 3rd anti-codon position.
Source: RNAcentral